Molecule: ribosomal RNA, 592 nt
Filed under: uncultured bacterium
Lineage: Bacteria
Description: bacterial SSU rRNA
Rfam family: Bacterial small subunit ribosomal RNA
Source: RNAcentral
CCUACGGGAGGCAGCAGUGGGGAAUCUUGCGCAAUGGGCGAAAGCCUGACGCAGCCAUGCCGCGUGGAUGAUGAAGGUCUUAGGAUUGUAAAAUCCUUUCACCGGUGAAGAUAAUGACUGUAGCCGGAGAAGAAGCCCCGGCUAACUUCGUGCCAGCAGCCGCGGUAAUACGAAGGGGGCUAGCGUUGCUCGGAAUUACUGGGCGUAAAGGGAGCGUAGGCGGACAUUUAAGUCAGAGGUGAAAUCCCGGAGCUUAACUUCGGAACUGCCUUUGAUACUGGGUGUCUUGAGUGUGAGAGAGGUAUGUGGAACUCCGAGUGUAGAGGUGAAAUUCGUAGAUAUUCGGAAGAACACCAGUGGCGAAGGCGACAUACUGGCUCAUUACUGACGCUGAGGCUCGAAAGCGUGGGGAGCAAACAGGAUUAGAUACCCUGGUAGUCCACGCCGUAAACGAUGAUUGCUAGUUGUCGGGAAGCUUGCUUCUCGGUGACGCAGCUAACGCAUUAAGCAAUCCGCCUGGGGAGUACGGUCGCAAGAUUAAAACUCAAAGAUUAGACGCGNGAGAGAGCGACGACGACGACGAGGAGGAGAG